RNAcentral lists this ribosomal RNA (881 nucleotides) under Streptomyces sp. RNAcentral describes it as "bacterial SSU rRNA". It matches the Rfam family "Bacterial small subunit ribosomal RNA", at positions 76 to 969 of the family's 1533-position model. The record is from RNAcentral. Lineage: Bacteria; Bacillati; Actinomycetota; Actinomycetes; Kitasatosporales; Streptomycetaceae.
GGCUAAAUUCUGGUGGAUAGUGGCGACGGGUGAGUAACACGUGGGCAAUCUGCCCUUCACUCUGGGACAAGCCCUGGAAACGGGGUCUAAUACCGGAUAACACUCUGUCCCGCAUGGGACGGGGUUAAAAGCUCCGGCGGUGAAGGAUGAGCCCGCGGCCUAUCAGCUUGUUGGUGGGGUAAUGGCCUACCAAGGCGACGACGGGUAGCCGGCCUGAGAGGGCGACCGGCCACACUGGGACUGAGACACGGCCCAGACUCCUACGGGAGGCAGCAGUGGGGAAUAUUGCACAAUGGGCGAAAGCCUGAUGCAGCGACGCCGCGUGAGGGAUGACGGCCUUCGGGUUGUAAACCUCUUUCAGCAGGGAAGAAGCGAAAGUGACGGUACCUGCAGAAGAAGCGCCGGCUAACUACGUGCCAGCAGCCGCGGUAAUACGUAGGGCGCAAGCGUUGUCCGGAAUUAUUGGGCGUAAAGAGCUCGUAGGCGGCUUGUCACGUCGGAUGUGAAAGCCCGGGGCUUAACCCCGGGUCUGCAUUCGAUACGGGCUAGCUAGAGUGUGGUAGGGGAGAUCGGAAUUCCUGGUGUAGCGGUGAAAUGCGCAGAUAUCAGGAGGAACACCGGUGGCGAAGGCGGAUCUCUGGGCCAUUACUGACGCUGAGGAGCGAAAGCGUGGGGAGCGAACAGGAUUAGAUACCCUGGUAGUCCACGCCGUAAACGUUGGGAACUAGGUGUUGGCGACAUUCCACGUCGUCGGUGCCGCAGCUAACGCAUUAAGUUCCCCGCCUGGGGAGUACGCGCAGGCUAAACUCAAGGAAUUGACGGGGGCCCGCACAAGCAGCGGGAGCAUGGUGGCUUAAUUUCGACGGCAACCGCGGAAGAAA